UACAGAGGGUGCAAGCGUUAAUCGGAAUUACUGGGCGUAAAGGGCGCGUAGGUGGUUAAUUAAGUCAGAUGUGAAAUCCCCGGGCUUAACCUGGGAAUUGCAUUUGAAACUGAUUGGCUAGAGUACGGGAGAGGGAAGUGGAAUUUCCGGUGUAGCGGUGAAAUGCGUAGAUAUCGGAAGGAACACCAGUGGCGAAGGCGACUUCCUGGCCCGUUACUGACACUGAGGCGCGAAAGCGUGGGGAG
Molecule: ribosomal RNA, 245 nt
Filed under: uncultured bacterium
Lineage: Bacteria
Description: partial 16S ribosomal RNA
Rfam family: Bacterial small subunit ribosomal RNA
Source: RNAcentral